Molecule: long non-coding RNA, 927 nt
Filed under: Urocitellus parryii (Arctic ground squirrel)
Lineage: Eukaryota; Metazoa; Chordata; Mammalia; Rodentia; Sciuridae
Description: lncRNA (ENSUPAG00010006767.1)
Source: RNAcentral
ACAGGUCUCCAGCAGGGGUGCACACGCCAGCCCCCGAAGGCCAGGACGCCAGGCGCAGGGAUGUACUGGAAAGACAUGACAUGGUCCGGUGUGAUGGCGAGGACAGAGGGACUGCCGUCCGGCCUUCGUGAACACUCUGGCUGGCACCGCGGGGGAGGCUGCCACAGAAGGGUCUGGUCCUUUGCUUUUCCGAAAGAGUUAACACACCACUGCUGCUCUCUGGACCCCCUAGAACCCUCAAGAAAUAAAGAAAUGGUGCUACCCAGCUCACGUCUGGGCCUUCAACUCUGGGGACUUCUUCAAGUCCGUCUAGCUCUGGAUCAAGAAUAUGCUGCGUUUGGGAACCACUGCAUACCUGACUCAGGAAUCGGCUCUGUAGGUGAAGCCGAAGGACCAGGCCUGUGAACACCAAGGCAGAACAGACCCGCAGCACCCGCCGCCAAACCCCAUCCUCGUGGCCACCCCACUGCGCCCAGCGGACCAUCAGCACGCCUCCCUCUGCUUUUCUUCUUCCUCCUUCCCUCCAACCUUGUGUUUCUGUCUUUCUUCCUUCCGUCGUUUGAGAGAUUCAAAGCAUCCGUGACUCUGUUUCCCCACCCGUCCCUUCUGAUUUCAAUUUGCACUAAGUCGUUUGCACUGGUUUGGAGCUCGGGAGAGCCUUGAGUCUCUCUGUGCGCGUGUGCGUGAGUGUGCGGGCCUCCUUGGCCACGCCGCCCCAGCGCCUGCCUGCUGUCCACCUCUGCCUGGGGGCGCCUGGGCGCCGGCCGCGUGCUUGAGGCCUCGCCCCCCCCUCACCUUGUCUGGAAGCUCCACCACAGCGAGCCACCUCAAAGCAUUCCUCACACCACCUUGCCCAGUGCCCCUCCCCACCAGGGCUCACCAGAGUCCUGGCCUCAUCAAUAAACACAGUUACAGCAACUUGUCUCA